Molecule: ribosomal RNA, 180 nt
Filed under: Benjaminiella poitrasii
Lineage: Eukaryota; Fungi; Mucoromycota; Mucoromycetes; Mucorales; Mucoraceae
Description: partial 18S ribosomal RNA
Rfam family: Eukaryotic small subunit ribosomal RNA
Source: RNAcentral
AUUGACAGAUUGAAAGCUCUUUCUAGAUUCUAUGGGUGGUGGUGCAUGGCCGUUCUUAGUUCGUGGGUGAUUUGUCUGGUUAAUUCCGAUAACGAACGAGACCUUAUUCUACUAAAUAGACAGGCCAACUUUUUAGUUGGUUAAUGGAAUUUAUUCCAUCUGGCUUCUUAGAGAGACUAU